GAUGAAGAACGUAGCGAAAUGCGAUACGUAAUGUGAAUUGCAAAUUCAGUGAAUCAUCGAGUCUUUGAACGCACAUUGCGCCCCCUGGUAUUCCGGGAGGCAUGCCUGUCCGAGCGUCAUUGCUGCCCUCAAGCACGGCUUGUGUGUUGGGCCCCGUCCUCCGAUCCCGGGGGACGGGCCCGAAAGGCAGCGGCGGCACCGCGCCCGGUCCUCGAGCGUAUGGGGCUUUGUCACCCGCUCUGUAGGCCCGGCCGGCGCUUGCCGAUCAACCCAAAUUUUUUAUCCAGGUUGACCUCGGAUCAGGUAGGGAUACCCGCUGAACUUAAGCAUAUCAAUAAGCGGAGGA
RNAcentral lists this unclassified non-coding RNA (346 nucleotides) under soil metagenome. RNAcentral's name for it is "partial contains 5.8S ribosomal RNA, internal transcribed spacer 2, and large subunit ribosomal RNA". The stretch from base 1 to 119 matches the Rfam family "5.8S ribosomal RNA", at positions 35 to 154 of the family's 154-position model. The record is from RNAcentral.